GGGAAAGGGGUGUGAGUGGAGAGUCGAGAGUAAAAGAAUUGGUGCAUUAAUAUAUAUGUAUAUAUAUAUAUAUAUAUAUAUAUAUAUAUAUAUAUAUAUUAAUGCACCAAUUCUUUUACUCUCGACUAUCCACUCACACCCCUUUCCCU
Non-coding RNA from Paramuricea clavata, 149 nucleotides. The record is from the annotation of a GenBank genome assembly. NCBI's taxonomy places the organism in Eukaryota, Metazoa, Cnidaria, Anthozoa, Malacalcyonacea, Plexauridae.